UUUAUGGAGAGUUUGAUCCUGGCUCAGGAUGAACGCUGGCGGCGUGCCUAAUACAUGCAAGUCGAGCGAACGGACGAGAAGCUUGCUUCUCUGAUGUUAGCGGCGGACGGGUGAGUAACACGUGGAUAACCUACCUAUAAGACUGGGAUAACUUCGGGAAACCGGAGCUAAUACCGGAUAAUAUUUGAACCGCAUGGUUCAAAAGUGAAAGACGGUCUUGCUGUCACUUAUAGAUGGAUCCGCGCUGCAUUAGCUAGUUGGUAAGGUAACGGCUUACCAAGGCAACGAUGCAUAGCCGACCUGAGAGGGUGAUCGGCCACACUGG
This 325-nucleotide ribosomal RNA is filed under the name Staphylococcus aureus. RNAcentral describes it as "bacterial SSU rRNA". It matches the Rfam family "Bacterial small subunit ribosomal RNA", at positions 1 to 316 of the family's 1533-position model. The record is from RNAcentral. Lineage: Bacteria; Bacillati; Bacillota; Bacilli; Caryophanales; Staphylococcaceae.